This 253-nucleotide ribosomal RNA is filed under the name uncultured bacterium. Its description in RNAcentral is "partial 16S ribosomal RNA". It matches the Rfam family "Bacterial small subunit ribosomal RNA", at positions 524 to 776 of the family's 1533-position model. The record is from RNAcentral.
UACGUAGGGGGCCAGCGUUGUCCGGAUUUAUUGGGCGUAAAGAGCGUGUAGGCGGCCAGGUAGGUCUGGUGUGAAAACUCGAGGCUCAACCUCGAGAUGUCAUCGGAAACCAUCUGGCUAGAGUCCGGAAGAGGAGAGUGGAAUUCCUGGUGUAGCGGUGAAAUGCGCAGAUAUCAGGAAGAACACCCAUGGCGAAGGCAGCUCUCUGGGACGGUACUGACGCUGAGACGCGAAAGCGUGGGGAGCGAACAGG